This 447-nucleotide ribosomal RNA is filed under the name uncultured bacterium. RNAcentral's name for it is "partial 16S ribosomal RNA". It matches the Rfam family "Bacterial small subunit ribosomal RNA", at positions 29 to 523 of the family's 1533-position model. The record is from RNAcentral.
AACGAACGCUGGCGGCAGGCUUAACACAUGCAAGUCGAGCGCCCCGCAAGGGGAGCGGCAGACGGGUGAGUAACGCGUGGGAAUCUACCGUGCCCUACGGAAUAGCUCCGGGAAACUGGAAUUAAUACCGUAUACGCCCUACGGGGGAAAGAUUUAUCGGGGUAUGAUGAGCCCGCGUUGGAUUAGCUAGUUGGUGGGGUAAAGGCCUACCAAGGCGACGAUCCAUAGCUGGUCUGAGAGGAUGAGCAGCCACAUUGGGACUGGGACACGGCGCAGACUCCUACGGGAGGCAGCAGUGGCGAAUAUUGGACAAUGGGCGCAAGCCUGAUCCAGCCAUGCCGCGUGAGUGAUGAAGGUCUUAGGAUUGUAAAGCUCUUUCACCGGUGAAGAUAAUGACGGUAACCGGAGAAGAAGCCCCGGCUAACUUCGUGCCAGCCGCCGCAGUAA